This 437-nucleotide ribosomal RNA is filed under the name uncultured bacterium. Its description in RNAcentral is "partial 16S ribosomal RNA". It matches the Rfam family "Bacterial small subunit ribosomal RNA", at positions 29 to 507 of the family's 1533-position model. The record is from RNAcentral.
AGCGAACGCUGGCGGCAGGCUUAACACAUGCAAGUCGAGCGGGCAUCCUGGUGGUGUCAGCGGCAGACGGGUGAGUAACGCGUGGGAACGUGCCCUUCGUUGCGGAAUAACUCAGGGAAACUGGAGCUAAUACCGGAUACAUGCGAGAGCAGAAAGGUUUAUCUGGCGUAGGUCCGGCGCGCGUCUGAUUUGCUAGGUGGGGAGGUGACGACGCACCAAGGCGACGAUCAGUAGCUGGUCUGUGAGGAUGACCAGGCACUCUUGGACGGAGACACGGCCCAGACUCCUACGCGAUGCAGCAGUGGGUAAUAUUGCACAACCGGGGCAACCCUGAUCGCGCCAGGCCGCGUGAGUGAUGAUGGCCUUAGGGUUGUAAAGCUCUUUUCUCCGGGACUAUAAUGACGGUACCGGAGGAAUAAGCCCCGGCUAACUUCGUG